Molecule: long non-coding RNA, 1366 nt
Filed under: Mus musculus (house mouse)
Lineage: Eukaryota; Metazoa; Chordata; Mammalia; Rodentia; Muridae
Description: long non-coding RNA chr16:43555940-43557306
Source: RNAcentral
AAAGGAAGUAAGCAAAGUUCAUCCCAUUUGCAAGAAACAUACACUACUGUGACUGGUAGUCUGUCUCGUUGUGGCUUUUUGUAGCCUAUGCAACUGAGGAGCACAUGGAAGAGCCAGUCAGUACUCGGAGGACAUGGUUUAGCUUACCUAGUCUAAUCCACUGUUUCACGUUACAGAACAAUCGAAGGUCCUACCCCAAAUGAAUAGCAGGAUGUAACCUCUCUAUGUCUGUAAUUUCCAUAAAGUCCUCCAUGAUAUCUGGGGGUAUUGGCUCCUAGGGAUGCAAGCUUUAAAAGUAUGUCCUGGCAAUGAUGUCCCACAAGAGGGAAAUGUGAGUUGGUGAAAAAGUACAGACAUAGAUAUCUUUGUAAUAUUUUUUCUCAUAAAUAUUUUAAUUUGCUAUCAAGACCCCAUUUGAUCUUCAAUCAAAUGAGUGAUUUAAAGAAAAAAUUAUCUUUGGGGGCUGGGGAGAUGGCUCAUUGAGUACGAUUGCUUGCUUUGCAAUCAUGAGAACUUGAGUUCAAAACCCCAGUACCCACAUAAAAUGCUGGACGUGACUGUAUGCGCCUGUAAUCCCAGCAUUGGGAAGUAAGAGACAGGCAGAUCCCCCGGCACUCACUAACCCUCAGCCUUACCAGAACAGAGAACUCCUUUCUCAAAGAAAUAAGGCAGAGAUAGUGACACAAGAACAGGUAGACAUCGUUUUCUGGCUUUUGCACUUACAGAUGAAACAUACAUACAUACAUACAUACAUACAUACAUACACACACACUUUACCUUUGUAAUUUUUCUAAGUCGUAUUUCAGUCUUUCCUUCCUAUCACUGGGAUUUUGGGUAAUCGUCUUAACAGGUGGCUGGGAGGAAGUCAUGUGUGAAAACUCCUCAUAGCUUAUAGCAAAACAGAAGAUAUGCUCAGGAGAGAAGUGAAAAUCCAUAAAUGCAGUUAUCCCCCCACCACAAAGAGAGUAGUUUAGGGACACUGUGUGAUGCUACAUGGCCUGCAUGGGGAAACACUGAAGCCAUGUUUUCAGUUGCUUUUUCCUCCCUGGAAAUUCAUGCAAUAAACAGAGCCAAGAAACUUUGGAAUAUACUCUAGUGAAACAUAAAGGAGAUGAGAAAAAAGUCCUCUGAAACUCCAAUUUAACCAGUGCAUGCUAGCAGCCAAUCCAGUGUAUAACUGCCUCCUUUGUCCUUAGGGUUUGACAUUUCUGUACACUAGGAAAAAGAGAAUAUAUAUGCCUGGUGUGUUUGGAGCACUUGGCUGUUUCAAAUACUUUUAAGAUGAAUACUUGUUUCCUGCAUUUCCUUAAACAAGCUCCGUUAAACAUAUCAGUUAUCCCACAAUGCAUGGUUAUUCAGUAAAUUG